Saccharata proteae CBS 121410 is the source of this 99-nucleotide non-coding RNA. Lineage: Eukaryota; Fungi; Ascomycota; Dothideomycetes; Botryosphaeriales; Saccharataceae. The record is from the annotation of a GenBank genome assembly.
GCUUCGAUGGUUUAGUGGUAAAAUUAGCCGUUGCCAAGUGAGUCCUUCCAGACCAGCAGCAACAUCGGCUAGCCCCGUGUUCGAUUCACGGUCGAUGCA